This 445-nucleotide ribosomal RNA is filed under the name uncultured bacterium. RNAcentral's name for it is "bacterial SSU rRNA". It matches the Rfam family "Bacterial small subunit ribosomal RNA", at positions 30 to 475 of the family's 1533-position model. The record is from RNAcentral.
AUUGAACGCUGGCGGCAUGCUUUACACAUGCAAGUCGAACGGCAGCGCGGGCUUCGGCCUGGCGGCGAGUGGCGAACGGGUGAGUAAUAUAUCGGAACGUACCCAAGAGUGGGGGAUAACGUAGCGAAAGUUACGCUAAUACCGCAUACGAUCUAAGGAUGAAAGCAGGGGAUCGCAAGACCUUGUGCUCCUGGAGCGGCCGAUAUCUGAUUAGCUAGUUGGUGGGGUAAAGGCCCACCAAGGCAAUGAUCAGUAGCUGGUCUGAGAGGACGACCAGCCACACUGGAACUGAGACACGGUCCAGACUCCUACGGGAGGCAGCAGUGGGGAAUUUUGGACAAUGGGGGCAACCCUGAUCCAGCAAUGCCGCGUGAGUGAAGAAGGCCUUCGGGUUGUAAAGCUCUUUGUUCAGGGAAGAAAGGUACGUGGCUAAUAUCCACGACUG